Molecule: ribosomal RNA, 468 nt
Filed under: uncultured bacterium
Lineage: Bacteria
Description: partial 16S ribosomal RNA
Rfam family: Bacterial small subunit ribosomal RNA
Source: RNAcentral
GACGAACGCUGGCGGCGUGCUUAACACAUGCAAGUCGAACGGAAAGGCCCUGCUUUUGUGGGGUGCUCGAGUGGCGAACGGGUGAGUAACACGUGAGUAACCUGCCCUUGACUUUGGGAUAACUUCAGGAAACUGGGGCUAAUACCGGAUAGGAGCUCCUGCUGCAUGGUGGGGGUUGGAAAGUUUCGGCGGUUGGGGAUGGACUCGCGGCUUAUCAGCUUGUUGGUGGGGUAGUGGCUUACCAAGGCUUUGACGGGUAGCCGGCCUGAGAGGGUGACCGGCCACAUUGGGACUGAGAUACGGCCCAGACUCCCACGGGAGGCAGCAGUGGGGAAUAUUGCACAAUGGGCGGAAGCCUGAUGCAGCAACGCCGCGUGCGGGAUGACGGCCUUUGGGUUGUAAACCGCUUUCGCCUGUGACGAAGCGUGAGUGACGGUAAUGGGUAAAGAAGCACCGGCUAACUACGUG